Molecule: small nucleolar RNA, 89 nt
Filed under: Amphilophus citrinellus (Midas cichlid)
Lineage: Eukaryota; Metazoa; Chordata; Actinopteri; Cichliformes; Cichlidae
Source: RNAcentral
CGUCUCCUGUGAUGUUUUGCACUGGGCUCAGAAGUCAGUGGUGACAGAAGUGCAGCUCUGCACCUGACAAGGCAGAGUCUGAGGAGAUG